GAUGAACGCUGGCGGUGUGCCUAAUACAUGCAAGUCGAGCGAACAGACGAGGAGCUUUCUCCUCUGACGUUAGCGGCGGACGGGUGAGUAACACGUGGAUAACCUACCUAUAAGACUGGGAUAACUUCGGGAAACCGGAGCUAAUACCGGAUAACAUGUUGAACCGCAUGGUUCAACAGUGAAAGACGGUCUUGCUGUCACUUAUAGAUGGAUCCGCGUCGCAUUAGCUAGUUGGUAAGGUAACGGCUUACCAAGGCAACGAUGCGUAGCCGACCUGAGAGGAUGAUCGGCCACACUGGAACUGAGACACGGUCCAGACUCCUACGGGAGGCAGCAGUAGGGAAUCUUCCGCAAUGGGCGAAAGCCUGACGGAGCAACGCCGCGUGAGUGAAGAAGGUCUUCGGAUCGUAAAACUCUGUUAUUAGGGAAGAACAAAUGUGUAAGUAACUAUGCACGUCUUGACGGUACCUAAUCAGAAAGCCACGGCUAACUACGUG
This 497-nucleotide ribosomal RNA is filed under the name uncultured bacterium. Its description in RNAcentral is "partial 16S ribosomal RNA". It matches the Rfam family "Bacterial small subunit ribosomal RNA", at positions 28 to 507 of the family's 1533-position model. The record is from RNAcentral.